GGAUGAACGCUGGCGGCGUGCCUAAUACAUGCAAGUCGAACGAACCUUCGGGUUAGUGGCGGACGGGUGAGUAACACGUUAGUACCUGCCCUUUAGGUGGGGAAUAACUGGCCGAAAGGUCAGCUAAUACCGCAUGUGACCGUUUACGGUUAAAGCCUUCGGGCGCUAAAGGAGGGGCUUGCGUCUGAUUAGCUAGUUGGUAGGGUAAAGGCCUACCAAGGCAAUGAUCAGUAGCUGGUUCGAGAGGAUGACCAGCCACACUGGGACUGAGAUACGGCCCAGACUCCUACGGGAGGCAGCAGUAAGGAAUCUUCCGCAAUGGACGAAAGUCUGACGGAGCAACGCCGCGUGCAGGAUGACGGCCUUCGGGUUGUAAACUGCUUUUAUUUGGGAAGAUUAUGACGGUACCAAAUGAAUAAGGACCGGCUAACUACGUGCCAGCAGCCGCGGUAAUACGUAGGGUCCAAGCGUUAUCCGGAAUCACUGGGCGUAAAGCGUGCGUAGGCGGGUUGUUAAGUGCAAUGCGAAAUCCUGUGGCUCAACCAUAUGGACUGUAUUGCAUACUGGCAAUCUUGAGGAUAUGAGAGGCAAGUGGAAUUACCGGUGUAGCAGUGAAAUGCGUAGAUAUCGGUAGGAACACCAAUGGCGAAGGCAGCUUGCUGGCAUAUUUCUGACGCUAAGGCACGAAAGCGUGGGGAGCGAACAGGAUUAGAUACCCUGGUAGUCCACGCCGUAAACGAUGCAUACUAUUCGUAUGGGGUAUCGACCCCCUGUGCGGAGAAGCUAACGCGAUAAGUAUGCCGCCUGGGAAGUACGGCCGCAAGGCUAAAACUCAAAGGAAUUGACGGGGCUCCGCACAAGCAGUGGAUCGUGUGGUUUAAUCCGAUGCUACGCGCAGAACCUUACCCAGGCUUGACAUCCCGAUCGUCGGCCUAGGAAACUAGGCUUUCAGUUCGGCUGGAUCGGUGACAGAUGCUGCAUGGCCGUCGUCAGCUCGUGUCGUGAGAUGUUGGGUUAAGUCCCGCAACGAGCGCAACCCUUGUCGUGUGUUGUAUUUUUCACGCGAGACCGCCCGGGCCAACCGGGAGGAAGGUGGGGAUGACGUCAGGUCUGCAUGGCUCUUACGCCUGGGGCCACACACGUGAUACAAUGGCCGGAACAACGGGUCGCUAACCCGCGAGGGGGAGCUAAUCCCAUCAAACCCGGUCCCAGUUCGGAUUGCAGGCUGCAACUCGCCUGCAUGAA
Molecule: ribosomal RNA, 1245 nt
Filed under: uncultured bacterium
Lineage: Bacteria
Description: bacterial SSU rRNA
Rfam family: Bacterial small subunit ribosomal RNA
Source: RNAcentral